This 8387-nucleotide long non-coding RNA is filed under the name Homo sapiens (human). Its description in RNAcentral is "HSALNT0306426". Lineage: Eukaryota; Metazoa; Chordata; Mammalia; Primates; Hominidae. The record is from RNAcentral.
CUCCCGCCCUUAAUUUUUAAAUUUUUUGUAGAGAUGGGGUCUCACUAUCUUGCCCAGGCUGAAUGGAGUAGGGUGCUUUGAAUCAAACUAGACAAUAGCCUAGUAUUACAAACCACAGCAUUCCCUUUUACAAAAUAAGAAGCAGGAAUAUGUGCCCAAAGUCACUUUUUCUCAAACUAAGUAACAGGUAUUUUGAAACAUAACUGACUGGCCAGUACCCUUGUGGUUAACUGAUACUCACCAGAUAAUGUGAUUUUAACAUAACUCCUUAAAACACAGCAACUCCUUAUAAAAUAUAACUCCUAUUCCACGUAGUAUUUUCAUAUAGACUCUAUAAAUUAAUCUUGAAGAUAAUGAAAUUAAAGAAUACACAGUAGUAACCCACUUAAUAAAAUGAAUAUAUUCAAUUAGAUGAAAAUGCAAUUUCUAUAGCAAAGCAAUUUUUCAUUAGUUUAUACUUAAAAUUUCAGAAAUGAUUUACCCUCAUUUCUGCUUACUAUUCAAGCAACAGUGAUUUCCAACAUUUUAAGCCUCGAGUUUUCUUGUGUCUCUUUUAGCCCAGGGUAGGAAGUGACUUUACAAACACUUAAGUACAUCAGAAGAGCUUUCUAUUUAAAGCAAUUCUUCAGUGAAAUCUUCUCACCAUUUACUUUACGAACUUUGCAUAUUCGGUUUUUUAAGUAUUAAAUUUCUUAAAAUUUGGCACAUUAGUAAAGUAAAAAUAGUAUGUGUCCCUAGAAGACAAAACAACAAAUAUACACCAGAAAAAUAAUAAGGUUUAAAACAUACAGGAGACACUGUACCCUCCACUAUAAAGAAUGCAAAAAUAUGAUAUGGGAUACCUAAAGAAAAAGAUUUUUCUUAUAAAUUAAAAUAUGCUCACAUCACCAUAUUAUAUUUUGAAGAAAGAUUAUCUCUAUUUUUGAGAUGACAGAUCUAAGGUUGUAAAGCAGAAUACUUGUUUUCAGCUCUCAGCUAUUAUUUUUGUCUGUAGUCUGCUGCACUAUCUUUCUCCUUUGCCAUAUGCAUUGUAGGUGGGAUGUUUCCUGUUGUUACUAUGUCUAGCUUUGCAGACUCAAUUUUCAAACAGUUUAUUUACUUCUCAAAGUGUGAUCCUAUAAUUGUGCUUUGCUGUCCCCAAGUCAAAGUAAGUAUUAGGAUGUGUACUCAGUUUUUCUAUUUAAUAUAUAUUUUUGAAACAAAAAUCAAACCCUUCGUUAACCUGGUAUAAUUUAAACAGUAACAUCAAAAACCAAAUUAAAAAAAUACAAUGGACAGUAAGAUAAAAUCACCUAACUUCCUUACAAAUCUUUAUCCGUUAGUUUAGUCAAAACCUUACAUGUGAUUGAUGGGAUAUGCUUUCUAACUUAUUAUAAACUCUUUUAUUAUCAGAUACAGUGAAGAUUAAUUCACAGUAAGAAGAUUACAAACUGGUGUUACAUCAAAACCAUCCCAGGAAAAAAAAAUGUGUCCUUAAUUUCCCCAAUCCUCAAGUUUUCUUUUUCUUUUCCUUUUUUUUUUUUUUGUCAGCAAUCAUAAGACUGUACUUAUUAAAUUCAAGGUAAUUAAAGAAAACAACCUUCUUUACCGAGAAAAAAGAAAAAAGAUACAACCCUGAAAAGUUUUUGUAGAGAUGAGAUUUAGGAACCAUAGUACCAACAUAGUUUGCUUCCAGGGACAUAAGACUCCUGUUUAGAAAUUUUGUAGAUGUAUGGAACUUAGCAAAGUCCUGAAAGAUUUAGUAAAUGCUAAAAGAAACUGAAAAGAAAUGUAUAAAACAAGCAUAAAAGAAGUUUUAAAAAUGUGAUUCCUCCUGUUAUAUAGACUACACUGAAAUCCAGUGUCUGGUUGAACUUUCUAGGCAUCCUGCCUGACUUUCUUCUCUUUCACAUUCCUGCUUUAUUUCUUAUGGCAGAUAUUAUUACACUAGGAGGCAGGGGACCGAGGUACCAGAUAUACCAGUUGUUAUAUAACCUUGGAUAAGAGACCUUUUCUGGGUCUCUUUCUCCUGAUCCAAAACAUUGAGAGAAUGAAAAAUUAAUGCUUUUAUUAUUAUCACCUAGAAAUGUUUGCUUUACAACUCAACUUGUAUCUGCAUUCUCUAAAUAGCUGAAAAGAACUGUUUGUUCUUUUGUAAUGUAUAUCACUCAUAAAUAUUUCCUUAGUAUUGGUCUUCAGUGGAAAGACUAUAAGCUCCAUAGUCCUUGCCUGUCUUAUUCAUAGGUGAAUAACUGGCAUACAGUAAGUACUUAAUAUUUUUAGAAUGAGUAACUGAAUUAAUGAACAUUUAUGCUUCUCUACAUCACUAUGAAAAACCUGAGCUUGCUUCUCAAGUCCUGGGACUUUCUGUAAAUGCAUUUUUCCUAACUGCAUUUAUAAUGCGAAUACACUGCACAUUCUGUUUUUUCUCUUUGAGAAAAAUUUCUGCUUAUGAAAAUAUUACUAUUCUCUUGAAUCAGGAUUUGAUGUCUCUUAGCAGCUGAUGUUAACCUUAAUAGUUUAAGAUGUCUCUAACUGUCUCAUUUAAAGAUAAUAAUAUUUUUCACAAGGCAUAACUUUAAAAAAGCAUAUGUAAAUAUAACUUGAUAUUUUUUAGCAGACAUUUAAAGUGGUUUAAUUACAUCAGGAUUUACAAAAUAAUAUGAGUUUUCAAACUGGGUUACUGGGUGAUUAGGUUUCCUGAUUCUAUGCAGAAUGAAUAUAUGAAAAUACCAAAAAAGAUUUUAGAACAUUUUGUAGAACUUGUUUAUAACAUUUAAGCAUUAUUUCAUAUGAAAAAUACCAGGGAUGUUGUGUACCAGAAUCCAGUCAAUACUUGGUUAUUUGAAACAAACAAAUUAUCUUUGUUUAGUUUUCUACAAUAAAAGUGGCCUUUAUGUAAAAAUCUCCAUUAAGUGUUUGCAAUUUUUAGAGUAGUAUACUAAAUGUUAAGUUUGGUUAUUUUGGAAGAGAAAAUUCAUUCUGCCUUUACAUAAAAACCCUACGUCUUAAGCAAUUAUGAGCAUAAAUUAUAAAUUUGAAAUUACUUUUGUUAUCUACGCAACCAUUUAUAAUUAUCUCUUUAAAAAUGCUUCUGAGUGUUUUGAUUGCCAAUAUUUAUUAUUUUCUGGGUCCCCCAACCAAACUGUUCAUCAGUUUCUUAAACUUAUGAGUUACACACUCUGUAAUAGUUUAAAUAAGAAAAAAUAAAAACCUAUUUAAAAUGUUCUUUAAUAUGAAAAUUAAAACAUAGAUACUGUUCACCUUAUAAAUCUAGUGCUGUUCAAAACCUCAUUGCUCACUAAUUUAUUCCCUGAAACUUGGAAUCACUUAAUAGAAAUGAAAUACUAAGAAUGACAGUUAAGUUUCUAGGAUGGCUCACAGGAGCACUGAGCCCAUAUAUAGUACUAGAGUACUGACUAUGAGAAAUAGGAGUUUUUGACCUAGUUCAUCAAAGAUGGAGAAAAAGCCAGUUGAUGGCUAAAAAAGAUAUUCAGCCCUUAAAUGUCCUAAGGGAUGGCUAGCCCAAUACUUAACUUUAAUUGUCUACACCCAUUUAAAUCAAACUUUUCAAGUAAUCUUUGAGUGAACCAACCUUAAGUAAGAGGAUAUAUCCAAAGCAGACACAAGCUAAUACAAUUUUAAACAACAGAAGAACAUAUCUUUACAUUUACUUUGCCAACUAAUGGUUUUGUUGUUUGAAUUCUCAAUGAGGAGAAUGUCAACUAAUAGUUUUGUUGUUUGAAUUCUCAAUAAGGAGAACAGAUAGCUUGGCUCAACACAUUGGCACAUGGAAUAUGUUGGGUUCUAAUUUUAGUCUUUCCACUGACUUUCUUAUUGCUAUACUUUAAAAGGUCCUAAACACUCUGUAUGUCUGUUUCUUUAUGAGAAACAACAAAGAUAUUUUUCCCACUAUCUCCCUCAACAAGAAGUAAAACAAUAAUGUAAAGAAUCUGGCAAAUGUAAAAAGACACAUAAAAGUGUCAUUUGAAAAGUCUGGUAUACAUUUCAAAGAACUAUAAAUAGAAUUUGUUUUAUUGUACCAAAUGAAAUAUUACCAAGUUAAAGAUUUACCAUAAUAUACUAGUCACUAUUUUCUAUAGUACAACUAAUAUAAAGACAACACAUAUAAUCACUAUAACAGUUAAUACUUUUGUGUCACUUAGCAUGAACCAGGCAUUUUUAAAGCAUUGUAUAUAUCUAAAGCAUUGAUUAUAUCUAAACUCACUAAAUAACCCUGAGGUGGACACAACUGACUAGGCCCAUUUUACUAAUGAAGAGACUGAGGCACAGAAUAUCCCAUAGCUAGUUAAGUGGUGGAGCAGGGAUUUGAAUCCAGACAGUCUGGCUCUAGGGUCCGUGCUCUUAACGUUUUUGCAAUAUUGCCUACCUAAUGUGAGGAAACAAAGACAAGGAAAGAAAAUAUAUUUACAUAUUUGUUCACUUAAUAACAAUCACCAAAACCAAUGCUGUAAGUUAUGAGAAUAUUUACAUUAACCAAGUUGGGGAGCAUUUAUUCAAAUUUCUCCACCAUCUGAGUUUCAUGUUUACAGAUGUCCACUUUGUGGGUCUUACUGUGUUGGCAAAGUGCAGAACAGCACAAAAAUGAAGUAUAUCAGUCCUCAGAAAAAUGUAGGAGUUCAAGAAAGCUUUAAAAUAGCUUUAAGAUUAACAGAUAAUUUUAUUUCUAAAAAAAGAAAAAAUUUUUAACGCAUAACAUACAGAUUAUAGAACAGUUAUUAAUAGUAAUAUAAUUUCAUUUUCCUUCUCGCCUUCUACUAUUACUAAUAGUGCACCCUGCUUAUUCAACGAAGACUUGCACAUAUCUUCCCUCUCUUAGAAUUAAUUCAUCUUUGUGAUAUUUUGUUAUUAAUAAAGGUAACAAUCCAUUUUUUUCAUUUUUUUUCAUCUACUAUGGUAGUAGAUGCUAUUAGUAAUAGGAGAGAAGGAAAAUGAAAAAAUUUAGUGAAUGUCCACAACAUUCUAGGACUUCAUACUCUAUCAUUCAUAGUCAUGACAACUCUGAGAUAUGCAUUACCAUACUAAUUUUACUGAUAAACUAAAGUUCAGAACUUUAACAGCUCGUUAAAGGUUCUAUAUUGUAGUAUUCAGUCUAUGGAGCCAAUGCUCAAACCCAGGAAUGUCUCUGAAAGCUCUACAGGUUGUCGCCUAUUAAUAAAAAGGGUAUAAUGUUUAUCAUUGGUCAUCUGUGAGUAAUAGUAAUUAGAAGAGUGUAAAAACAUAUUGAUAAGCUCAGCACUUAACUUUAAAAAUAAUUUUCAUGACCUUUCUUUCUCAAAGCCGCUAAGGAUGCAACAAAAGAAAAUGAUGUUUGUCUCACUUUUGUAUUCUUCACGUUAAAUUUUUGGGUAGGUGUUUAUAAGCAGUGAAAUAUGAAGAAACACUUCAUUAAGUAUGUUCCUCAGAAUGUUUGUUUGUUAUAAUGAUAAAAUAAGAUAAUGUCUACAAGACUUUUAGCACAAUGAGUGGCGCAAAGUACUCAAUAAAUGUUAGUGACCAUUAUUAGAAGUUCAGAAGAAUUACAUAUUAAGACCCCUUGAAAAAAUAUUGCAGUAAAAAUGUUUAUCCAGCAUUCGUUAAUCAUAAUCAUGGUUUUUAAACCUUAUUUGAUGAAGCAGCCUUUUGGGUUUUUUCAGGUGCGAGGAUAAUCAUACCUAUUAAGUUAUCACAGAACUAGAGGACCUUGGAAUACGCUUCGCUAAACAACAGUAGAAAGCUGUAAAAUAGAAGAAACGUAUCAAUCCCUGAAAAAUGCACAAGUGAAACUUCAUUUCUAUUUAAGAGAUGCCAAUCUGCUGUAAAAGCAUGGUCUGCUGUACCUGAGAAUGCGAGAAAAUUAAGUUCAAGAUCACCUGAUGAAGUACCUUCAUCAAUUUUCAACUUCAAGCAUUGGCAGAAUUCAUCAACUGUUAUGUGGUACGCUGUUUAUUUAAUGAAGACUUGUACAUAUCUUCCUUGUCUCUUACAAUUUAUUACAUCUUUGUGAUAUUUUCUUCUUAAUAAAAGUUGCUUAAUCAAUUAUUUUUUAUAAUGCUCUUAAUAUUUUGGGCAUUCCUUGAAUUUUCAGUUAUUAGAUUGUUAAUUACUUAAUACAGACAGAAACUAGUGUCCAAAGAGGCUUAAAACUUAAGAUCAACCUGAAAUGAAGAUAAUUUAUUGACAAUAAGUUAAAAGAAAAAUAAGAAUUAAAAAAUUAAAUUUCUUCAACUUCCUCUUUAAAGUAUCACUCCAAGUGAUGCACACUAAGAUAUUCAAAGCUAACAUUAUGGCCUAAAAUAGUACAACUGAGCAAUUUAUAAUCACUUCUAACUGUAUGAAAUCACUCUCAAUAUAAUCAAAAUAAAGUUGGCAUCUGUAUUGCUGACAUUUGGUAGCUCUGCAUUUCUUACCAGUAUAUAAUUUUUUAAAUGUUUAUAUUCUAACAACUGACACGAAUAUGUGCUAAAUUCAGAACAAAUUAUGAAUGUGAUACUUCUACUCUCCUUCUACCUUGGUUUGCUCGACAUUAUCACUCUGUUCUAUAUCUAGGUGCCAGCUAAGGAUCUUCUAAGCUGUCCAGCUGAAUGUGUCCCUCACCAUCAUUUGUUAGAAUCUCUUGCACCAGCCUAAUGCACUUGAAUUGCUGAGGUUUUAAGGUGAGAACAAGAAACCUUACAAGGACUUGGAAUGGCAGUAUUGAUGUUGGGAGAAAAACUUGAACUUGGCACAGAUUUCUGCUUAAGUGCACUAAUUACAUCUCAGAGAAAGGUAAAAAAUUGUUCAAAUUUAUAACAGAAGGGAAAUAAGAUCAUAUUGUUUACUGCUAUAAAGCUUUUUUAUUUCGGUAUGUAAAUGUCUACUUUUGCACACAGUUGAUAAUUAAAAUUUUACAGAACAAGUUUCUACAUAUGCAAUGCUUCACUGUCACUAAAAUAUAUGUUUUAGCUUUAACCAUCAAGAAAAUAAAAAAUUAGAAGUAUUAUCAUGUCUUUAUAAUAUUUUUGCCAAAUAUCCUUCUAGAUUUAUAUUUCUUCAAUCCUUUCUAGUUGAUCAAAUUGCUGUUUUCAUAUUGCCAGUCUGAUCACAAAAUUGCUGCUUUACAGAAGAAUAUUUUUUGCUGACAUAAAUUAUGGGAUCAGAGAUACCAAUGCAGUUACAAAAAAAAAAAAAAGGGUGUGAGGGAGAGAGAGCGAGCGAAAGAGAGUGUGUGUAUAUGCAUGUGUGCAUCCAUCUUCAAGGAAAGAAUAAAGAAAUGUAUAUAUGAAACAAAAUAACACUUUCCAAUAUAAGCCCUAGUAAAAGGCCUACAUCAGAAACAUACUUUCUAACAUUUGUGAAAUAAAAUACAGCACUGAAUUUUAAAGCUAUGCACUAAGAACACAUUAUACAAAAAUGAAGUGAUUUUUAUCAAUAUUGUUAUUCCAUAAACUUAAAUCUGGAUUUACCUUUCAAUUUAUAGCUAACUGAAAUUAAUAUACUAACUAUAAGUUCAUGAUUUCUUUGACUCAUGAAAACAUAUUUUAGAAAUUUGUGUACUUUUACAUACAGUGGGCAAUUUGGUUCAGAACCCCAAGAGAAAUUGAGAUGAAAAACUCAUCUCAAUUUACAACAGUAAAUAAAUAAUUCAGCUAAAACUGAAAGUGGUACCAAUCCAGCAAACUAUUGAUGGAGAGGUUUGGCCUUCCAUGCAGCCAGAACAACAUAAAGUUUUCAAUGGGGAUUACUUGUUCAGACAAGUUACAAAGAUUACAAAUAUACCCAGAUUAAUUAUAAAAUAGCUAAUAUUCUCAUCAUAUGGAAAAUAAGUAUCAGGAACGUAUGUGGGAACAGACAAUAGCAGUGGCAUUUAAACUUUAAGCAUUUUAGAGCUUUGGACUUUAUAUACUGAUAUAUGAAACAGACAUUUAACCAAAAAAAAAGCAAUAAUGCAAGUCAAAACCUAACCAAAGGCCUCUACCAACUAAAAAUUUGAAAUUUUCCAUGGAAGUCAGACAAAACGAAAAAAUGGAAAAUGAAACCCUUAAAGCAAAAACCAAUCAAGUCUUCCAACACUGAAGUCAAUAUCCAAAUCUCAUACAGGACCAAAAAGGGGAAAACACUCAGGUCUACAAAUGGAUAAGCAGUUCCAAUACAAUCCAGAUCCCGACAUUUUCCCACUCAGAAACAAAUGCAGUGGAGCUUUUCCUGGAGAAAAAGAGCUCUCCAAUGAAUUUUUUUUAAGUGACAUCUAGAAAGUGUGCCUCUUUCUGUCUCUUUCCCUGGCGCCUCAUUGGAGGAAGGAGGGGGUUGUUUUUGUAUUCUCCCCCACUGGAGCAAGACACAAUCAGAUGUUAGAUGGAGGAGAGAAACCACUUUUGACAACAGCAAAUAAAAAUAAAAGUGCCCUUCCUCCCCUGACAGGAUGGGCA